This 241-nucleotide unclassified non-coding RNA is filed under the name plant metagenome. RNAcentral's name for it is "partial contains small subunit ribosomal RNA, internal transcribed spacer 1, and 5.8S ribosomal RNA". The record is from RNAcentral.
UUUCCGUAGGUGAACCUGCGGAAGGAUCAUUAUUGAAUGAAACAAUUCUGGCUUUAUGCUGUUGUGCUGGCCCUUUGGGCAAUGUGCACACGGCUCUGGUCACUUGUUUCUUCUGUUCCACCUGUGCACUGCCUGUAGACACGCUGUGUCUAUGAUAUUUGUUAACACACAACAAUGUUAGUUGGCAUGUUAUAUAUAAUAAUAAAAUAUACAACUUUCAACAACGGAUCUCUUGGCUCUG